Molecule: ribosomal RNA, 492 nt
Filed under: uncultured bacterium
Lineage: Bacteria
Description: partial 16S ribosomal RNA
Rfam family: Bacterial small subunit ribosomal RNA
Source: RNAcentral
AGUGGACGCUGGCGGUAGGCCUAACACAUGCAAGUCGAACGGCAGCACAGUAAGAGCUUGCUCUUACGGGUGGCGAGUGGCGGACGGGUGAGGAAUACAUCGGAAUCUACUUUUUCGUGGGGGAUAACGUAGGGAAACUUACGCUAAUACCGCAUACGACCUACGGGUGAAAGCAGGGGAUCUUCGGACCUUGCGCGAUUGAAUGAGCCGAUGUCGGAUUAGCUAGUUGGCGGGGUAAAGGCCCACCAAGGCGACGAUCCGUAGCUGGUCUGAGAGGAUGAUCAGCCACACUGGAACUGAGACACGGUCCAGACUCCUACGGGAGGCAGCAGUGGGGAAUAUUGGACAAUGGGCGCAAGCCUGAUCCAGCCAUACCGCGUGGGUGAAGAAGGCCUUCGGGUUGUAAAGCCCUUUUGUUGGGAAAGAAAAGCAGCAGGUUAAUACCCCGCUGUUCUGGCGGUACCCAAAGAAUAAGCACCGGCUAACUUCGUG